GAUGAACGCUGGCGGCGUGCCUAAUACAUGCAAGUCGAGCGAACUGAUUAGAAGCUUGCUUCUAUGACGUUAGCGGCGGACGGGUGAGUAACACGUGGCCACCUGCCUGUAAGACUGGGAUAACUCCGGGAAAACGGAGCUAAUACCGGAUAACAUUUUCCCUUUCCUAAGAGAAAAUUGAAAGAUGGUUUCGGCUAUCACUUACCGAUUGGCCCGCGGUGCAUUAGCUAGUUGGGGAGGUAACGGCUCACCAAGGCAACGAUGCAUAGCCGACCUGAGAGGGUGAUCGGCCACACUGGGACUGAGACACGGCCCAGACUCCUACGGGAGGCAGCAGUAGGGAAUCUUCCGCAAUGGACGAAAGUCUGACGGAGCAACGCCGCGUGAGUGAUGAAGGCUUUCGGGUCGUAAAACUCUGUUGUUAGGGAAGAACAAGUACAAGAGUAACUGCUUGUACCUUGACGGUACCUAACCGGAAAGCCACGGCUAACUACGUGCCAGCCGCCGCGGUAA
Molecule: ribosomal RNA, 513 nt
Filed under: uncultured bacterium
Lineage: Bacteria
Description: partial 16S ribosomal RNA
Rfam family: Bacterial small subunit ribosomal RNA
Source: RNAcentral